This 402-nucleotide transfer-messenger RNA is filed under the name Limnoglobus roseus. RNAcentral describes it as "transfer-messenger RNA, SsrA". It matches the Rfam family "transfer-messenger RNA". From Rfam's summary of the family: Bacterial tmRNA, also known as 10Sa RNA or SsrA, is named for its dual tRNA and mRNA-like properties. Its role is to liberate the mRNA from a stalled ribosome. Lineage: Bacteria; Pseudomonadati; Planctomycetota; Planctomycetia; Gemmatales; Gemmataceae. The record is from RNAcentral.
GGGGGCGAAAUGGUUUCGACCGGGCAGGUGAAGUGUUUGGUUGCGUGUCGAGGUUGAUCGGUUGGCCUCGUAAAAAGCCGGUCACACAACAACUGCUGAAACGCAGUUCACUCUCGCGGCUUAAUAACCCGUGAGCCGUUCAGUGCCCUUCGCGGGAGAGGUCAUUGUUCGGACGCCAAUUCCCGAUCGCGGACGCUCGAGGGUCUGGGCAACCAGAUUCGUUUCGGGGGCGGCGUCUGCUAAAAAACCUGACCGAUAGCGAGCUUCGCACCCUGCAAGUUGGGGACGCGGCGAGCGAACGUGAAGCCGCCGCAAGGUGGGCUUCGAGCGUGAACUUGCUACACACGUAGACGCCGGCACGGAAGUGCCUCGGGACCCGGGUUCGAUUCCCGGCGCCUCCAC